CGAAGGGGGCUAGCGUUGCUCGGAAUUACUGGGCGUAAAGGGAGCGUAGGCGGGUUAUCAAGUUGGAGGUGAAAGCCCAGGGCUCAACCUUGGAAUUGCCUUCAAAACUGAUAGCCUAGAGUAUGAUAGAGGUAAGUGGAACUCCGAGUGUAGAGGUGAAAUUCGUAGAUAUUCGGAAGAACACCAGUGGCGAAGGCGACUUACUGGAUCAUGACUGACGCUGAGGCUCGAAAGCGUGGGGAGCAAACAGGAUUAGAUACCCUGGUAGUCCACGCUGUAAACGAUGAUUGCUAGUUGUCAGCCGGCAUGCCGGUUGGUGACGCAGCUAACGCAUUAAGCAAUCCGCCUGGGGAGUACGGUCGCAAGAUUA
RNAcentral lists this ribosomal RNA (370 nucleotides) under uncultured organism. RNAcentral's name for it is "bacterial SSU rRNA". It matches the Rfam family "Bacterial small subunit ribosomal RNA", at positions 526 to 896 of the family's 1533-position model. The record is from RNAcentral.